GACGAACCGUGCUAACGUUGUUCGGAUUCACUGGGCUUAAAGGGCGCGUAGGCGGACGAUCAAGUCCAGGGUGAAAUACUCCAGCUUAACUGGAGAACUGCCCCGGAUACUGGUCGCCUUGAGGGAGGUAGGGGCAUGUGGAACUUCCGGUGGAGCGGUGAAAUGUGUUGAUAUCGGAAGGAACGCCGGUGGCGAAAGCGACGUGCUGGGCCUCUUCUGACGCUGAGGCGCGAAAGCUAGGGUAGCGAACGGG
RNAcentral lists this ribosomal RNA (253 nucleotides) under uncultured prokaryote. RNAcentral's name for it is "partial 16S ribosomal RNA". It matches the Rfam family "Bacterial small subunit ribosomal RNA", at positions 524 to 776 of the family's 1533-position model. The record is from RNAcentral.